UGGCGGUAUGCUUACACAUGCAGUCGAACGGAACUUCGGGUUUAGUGGCGGACGGGUGAGUAACGCGUGAGAAUCUGCCCUCUAGGUCGGGGACAACAAUUGGAAACGAUUGCUAAUACCCGAUGUGCAGCAAGGUGAAAGAUUUAUUGCCUAAGAGAUGAGCUCGCGUCUGAU
RNAcentral lists this ribosomal RNA (174 nucleotides) under uncultured cyanobacterium. Its description in RNAcentral is "partial 16S ribosomal RNA". It matches the Rfam family "Bacterial small subunit ribosomal RNA", at positions 37 to 241 of the family's 1533-position model. The record is from RNAcentral. Lineage: Bacteria; Bacillati; Cyanobacteriota.